RNAcentral lists this ribosomal RNA (492 nucleotides) under uncultured bacterium. RNAcentral's name for it is "partial 16S ribosomal RNA". It matches the Rfam family "Bacterial small subunit ribosomal RNA", at positions 29 to 507 of the family's 1533-position model. The record is from RNAcentral.
AGUGAACGCUGGCGGUAGGCCUAACACAUGCAAGUCGAACGGCAGCACAGUAAGAGCUUGCUCUUACGGGUGGCGAGUGGCGGACGGGUGAGGAAUACAUCGGAAUCUACUUUUUCGUGGGGGAUAACGUAGGGAAACUUACGCUAAUACCGCAUACGACCUACGGGUGAAAGCAGGGGAUCUUCGGACCUUGCGCGAUUGAAUGAGCCGAUGUCGGAUUAGCUAGUUGGCGGGGUAAAGGCCCACCAAGGCGACGAUCCGUAGCUGGUCUGAGAGGAUGAUCAGCCACACUGGAACUGAGACACGGUCCAGACUCCUACGUGAGGCAGCAGUGGGGAAUAUUGGACAAUGGGCGCAAGCCUGAUCCAGCCAUACCGCGUGGGUGAAGAAGGCCUUCGGGUUGUAAAGCCCUUUUGUUGGGAAAGAAAAGCAGCAGGUUAAUACCCCGCUGUUCUGGCGGUACCCAAAGAAUAAGCACCGGCUAACUUCGUG